Molecule: ribosomal RNA, 492 nt
Filed under: uncultured bacterium
Lineage: Bacteria
Description: partial 16S ribosomal RNA
Rfam family: Bacterial small subunit ribosomal RNA
Source: RNAcentral
AGUGAACGCUGGCGGUAGGCCUAACACAUGCAAGUCGAACGGCAGCACAGUAAGAGCUUGCUCUUACGGGUGGCGAGUGGCGGACGGGUGAGGAAUACAUCGGAAUCUACUUUUUCGUGGGGGAUAACGUAGGGAAACUUACGCUAAUACCGCAUACGACCUACGGGGGAAAGCAGGGGAUCUUCGGACCUUGCGCGAAUGAAUGAGCCGAUGUCGGAUUAGCUAGUUGGCGGGGUAAAGGCCCACCAAGGCGACGAUCCGUAGCUGGUCUGAGAGGAUGAUCAGCCACACUGGAACUGAGACACGGUCCAGACUCCUACGGGAGGCAGCAGUGGGGAAUAUUGGACAAUGGGCGCAAGCCUGAUCCAGCCAUACCGCGUGGGUGAAGAAGGCCUUCGGGUUGUAAAGCCCUUUUGUUGGGAAAGAAAAGCAGCAGGUUAAUACCCCGCUGUUCUGACGGUACCCAAAGAAUAAGCACCGGCUAACUUCGUG